AAGACCGUCCCGAUACGAAGACCAGCCGCAGUCAGUCCCUCACCUCAAGAUGGCGGCGGUGGCAGAACCUCUUACUCUCCAACAAGAUGUCAAGAGAGCUGUUGAAUUACUUGAUAAGCUGCAGAAAACGGGAGAAAUACCCUCAGCCAAGCUAGCGGCGCUCCAGCGAGUGCUCCAGUCCGAGUUCCUGACAGCAGUGCGGGAAGUGUACGAACACGUAUAUGAGACAGUUGACAUCUCCGGCUCCCCUGAGAUCCGUGCCUCUGCUACUGCCAAGGCAACUGUAGCUGCCUUUGCUGCCAGUGAGGGUCAUGCACAUCCCAGAGUUGUAGAACUGCCCAAGACUGAUGAGGGGCUGGGCUUUAAUGUCAUGGGAGGACGGGAGCAGAAUUCCCCCAUCUAUAUCUCCCGAAUCAUCCCUGGAGGCGUGGCAGACCGUCAUGGAGGACUCAAGAGAGGAGACCAGCUGCUGUCAGUCAAUGGAGUGAGCGUGGAGGGUGAGAACCACGAGCGAGCCGUGGAGUUGCUGAAAGCUGCCAGUGGCUCAGUGAAGCUGGUGGUGCGCUACACCCCACGAGUGCUGGAGGAAAUGGAGAUGCGGUUCGACAAACAGCGGGCGUCACGUAGGCGAACUUCCCAGUUACAGUAGAAAGCCCUAGUGGAGGAGUGGCGAGGCUGGGGCUGCUCCGUGCCAGUGAUGGGGGACAGCCGGCCAGGUGGCAGGCAGUGGAACUGAACACCUGUGGCAGCUUACAGCAGACACCAAGAGUCACCACCACACUCACACCACUGAGGUUGCUCGUGUGGCCAGCCAUUGGUAUCGAUGCUUACUGAAAAUGUUAUUACCAGUUUGUUGACAAUUUAAGGCUUUUUGCACCAAGACCCAACAGGGCAUUUGUGGCUUAACACCUUCAGCCUCCCUGGAUCACCAUCACCUUUGUGCCCUUCCUUGUAUGUUAGAAAGUUACUUAUACAUAAUGUUCUUGCAUAGUCAUUCUGCCUUUGAAAGACAGAGUUUUUGGAGGUUUUAUAGAUGAAGGUUGUACAACGUUGAGGCUAAGUUCCAUUAAAGCUAUGCAGUCUUUAUCUGCCUUGUGAUGUUGGAGCACUUUUGCAGCAUUAUUGAAAAGGAAGUUCAUAUCUGUAUCACAGAAAUUUUAUUUCAAAAUUGGUACUCUUCAAAAUUAGAUAUCUUUUCCUGCACUAAUAUUUCAUAAGUGUUUGUGUCUUUGUCAUUUAGAAAGCGUCAUGUGUUCUGUGUGAAGUCAUGGUGUUCCUGCAGAUAGUAAGCACAUUUAUAACAUUUUAAUAUAUAUUAUCUGUUCCCUCUCCUAACCUUGCUGCUUCCCUUCCUCCUUAAUUUAAGAGGUCAUCCUGGCAUAAAGAAUUAUUCAAAGUGGAAUACUGUUAUAUAAUUUUUGUUCAAGAUAGUAAUGCUGUUGAUGGAGGGGGUUUUCAGUAAAAACAUUCCAUUUGUAAUUCUCCAUAUGGCUCUAUGAUAAGGGUUGUUUUCCAUGCAGAAGGUGCUGCUAAGCUGAAAUCUCAUUCAUUAUAGCAUGUUUAUUUCAGUUAUUUAACAUAUAAUUUGUGUAUUUUCAUAUAUUUCAUAAAUCACUAUCUGUAUAAAAAAUGCAUUUGUCACUGCAUAUACUUACAAAAUGUUCUGUUCAAUAUUUUUGAGUGGUAGCAUUUUAUGUUUUAAGAUUUAUUUGAAGUCUACUGUUGAAAUCUGUCAGAUGUUAUUGUGAAUUCAGCAUGACACGUCACCAGCAGGGGGAUAUUGCUUUGAGUGUAAACCCAUAAAUUGCUGUGACAAGCAGCCAGACCCAUGGCUUUGAUUACAUGCAGCACACCCCAUCAUGGCUAAAAGUUUGAAUGCUUGCUUUGUUGUAAACCACUGCACAUCACUUGAAAAUGUCGAUAUCCGUGAAUCUCAGCUUGCAGGAUUCUAUGAUGAAACUGAAAAUAUUGUCACUGCUGAUGCUUUGGUAUGCCAGACCUAUUCAGUGUUGACUCAUUCAUUUCAAGGAGCCAGAGAUGAUGUAUUCAUUGAUUUAUGGCUUACCAAAGUUGUUUGACACAGUUUUGACCGUUGCUUGGAUUAGGACGUGUCCUGCAGCCAGUAUCUAUUUGUUUUCUUGAUUGUUAAGGGUGAUUGAUGGAAUAAGGUUGCUAUUUCUUGAAUUUCCUCAGUUGAGAGCUACCCAGCAUACAUGAAGUUCAUGUACUAUAGUUAUUGUUAUGAUUACAUACAUUGUAUUGCAUUAAUUACGUUAUUGUAAAGGAAAUAAUGACAUGCUGAUCAGUUUGCUUUGCUGGGAAUGUGUUGAUGCCAGACUGAUAAGGGUGCCACUAGUCAUGAUUGUGCUCACAGCCUUGGAUUAUUAGAAAAUGUGAAUAUAUAAUACUAUUUUCCACUAUUUAUAUUUCUAUUUAAUGUGAGAAGGUGAGGAAAGUAAAGUGCUUUUCAUUAUUAUAGUAUGCAUAACAUACAUACUGUACCAGUUUAAUCUUUAGACUACAGACUAUGAAGGCAUUUAUGAUGUACAGUAAUGCAAGUUUUGCAUACAGGCCAUGUUAAUGAAUUCAGGUACAGCCAGUGGGAGUCACUUGAGAGAAUAGUAGCUACUGUAGAGAACUUAUAUGUUUACCAAGUAUGAGGGAUAAUUUGUAUUUAGACAAUUACAGUAUUAGUCAUGAAUGUUGGAUCCCAUGGCUGUAAAAAGAUGUAAUGUUUGUCACUAUUGACUAGUACAUACUCAUUGUCUUAACAAAAAGGGAAGGGAGGAAAGGUGGGGUGGUGGGAGAGUGAAAGGAAUGAUGGAUGAAGAAGCAGGGGAGGGGGUCAAGGGGUCCAAACUAAUGACUAGUACUGUAGCGUUUUUUUUUUUUGUUCCCUUGGUCCCGAGAUAUCCACAGUAGCAGAGCAUAGCAUCUUGGUGGGUGGUGGAGGCCUUGAGGGGGUAGCUAGUAAUUUAUCAGUGCUGGAGGCUUUGUCCCUUCCUUACCUGUGACUUAUUGUAUGACCAUUGUUUAUGAACACUGUAGCUAUGGUUAGGUGUAUAGUGUUUAUAUAUAAUAGAUGUAGAUCAUGUAUGUACCCUGUCAUGUACAUUUUUUUUUUUUUCCUAAUGUAAAUGUUUCCUUUUA
RNAcentral lists this unclassified non-coding RNA (3150 nucleotides) under Portunus trituberculatus (swimming crab). RNAcentral's name for it is "protein lin-7 homolog C-like, transcript variant X1". The record is from RNAcentral. Lineage: Eukaryota; Metazoa; Arthropoda; Malacostraca; Decapoda; Portunidae.